UAGGGAAUCUUCCGCAAUGGACGCAAGUCUGACGGAGCAACGCCGCGUGAGUGAAGAAGGAUUUCGGUUCGUAAAACUCUGUUGUUAGAGAAGAACAGCGCAUAGAGUAACUGUUAUGCGUGUGACGGUAUCUAACCAGAAAGCCACGGCUAACUACGUGCCAGCAGCCGCGGUAAUACGUAGGUGGCAAGCGUUGUCCGGAUUUAUUGGGCGUAAAGCGAGCGCAGGCGGUCAAUUAAGUCUGAUGUGAAAGCCCCCGGCUCAACCGGGGAGGGUCAUUGGAAACUGGUUGACUUGAGUGCAGAAGAGGAGAGGGGAAUUCCAUGUGUAGCGGUGAAAUGCGUAGAUAUAUGGAGGAACACCAGUGGCGAAGGAGACUCUCUGGUCUGUAACUGACGCUGAGGCUCGAAAGCGUGGGUAGCAAACAGG
This 429-nucleotide ribosomal RNA is filed under the name Bacteroidota bacterium. Its description in RNAcentral is "Bacteroidetes bacterium partial 16S ribosomal RNA". It matches the Rfam family "Bacterial small subunit ribosomal RNA", at positions 355 to 776 of the family's 1533-position model. The record is from RNAcentral. Lineage: Bacteria; Pseudomonadati; Bacteroidota.